This 253-nucleotide ribosomal RNA is filed under the name uncultured bacterium. Its description in RNAcentral is "partial 16S ribosomal RNA". It matches the Rfam family "Bacterial small subunit ribosomal RNA", at positions 524 to 776 of the family's 1533-position model. The record is from RNAcentral.
UACGUAGGGUGCGAGCGUUGUCCGGAAUUAUUGGGCGUAAAGAGCUUGUAGGCGGUUUGUCGCGUCUGCUGUGAAAAUCCGGGGCUCAACCCCGGACUUGCAGUGGGUACGGGCAGACUAGAGUGUGGUAGGGGAGACUGGAAUUCCUGGUGUAGCAGUGGAAUGCGCAGAUAUCAGGAGGAACACCGAUGGCGAAGGCAGGUCUCUGGGCCACUACUGACGCUGAGAAGCGAAAGCAUGGGGAGCGAACAGG